This 496-nucleotide ribosomal RNA is filed under the name uncultured bacterium. RNAcentral describes it as "partial 16S ribosomal RNA". It matches the Rfam family "Bacterial small subunit ribosomal RNA", at positions 28 to 507 of the family's 1533-position model. The record is from RNAcentral.
GAUGAACGCUGGCGGCGUGCCUAAUACAUGCAAGUCGAGCGAACGGACGAGAAGCUUGCUUCUCUGAUGUUAGCGGCGGACGGGUGAGUAACACGUGGAUAACCUACCUAUAAGACUGGGAUAACUUCGGGAAACCGUAGCUAAUACCGGAUAAUAUUUUGAACCGCAUGGUUCAAAAGUGAAAGACGGUCUUGCUGUCACUUAUAGAUGGAUCCGCGCUGCAUUAGCUAGUUGGUAAGGUAACGGCUUACCAAGGCAACGAUGCAUAGCCGACCUGAGAGGGUGAUCGGCCACACUGGAACUGAGACACGGUCCAGACUCCUACGGGAGGCAGCAGUAGGGAAUCUUCCGCAAUGGGCGAAAGCCUGACGGAGCAACGCCGCGUGAGUGAUGAAGGUCUUCGGAUCGUAAAACUCUGUUAUUAGGGAAGAACAUAUGUGUAAGUAACUGUGCACAUCUUGACGGUACCUAAGCAGAAAGCCACGGCAACUACGUG